This 424-nucleotide ribosomal RNA is filed under the name uncultured bacterium. Its description in RNAcentral is "bacterial SSU rRNA". It matches the Rfam family "Bacterial small subunit ribosomal RNA", at positions 356 to 772 of the family's 1533-position model. The record is from RNAcentral.
GGGGAAUUUUGGACAAUGGGCGCAAGCCUGAUCCAGCAAUGCCGCGUGAGUGAAGAAGGCCUUCGGGUUGUAAAGCUCUUUUGUCAGGGAAGAAACGGUGGAGGCUAAUAUCCUUCGCUAAUGACGGUACCUGAAGAAUAAGCACCGCCUAACUACGUGCCAGCAGCAGCGGUAAUACGUAGGGUGCAAGCGUUAAUCGGAAUUACUGGGCGUAAAGCGUGCGCAGGCGGUUUUGUAAGUCUGAUGUGAAAUCCCCGGGCUCAACCUGGGAAUUGCAUUGGAGACUGCAAGGCUAGAAUCUGGCAGAGGGGGGUAGAAUUCCACGUGUAGCAGUGAAAUGCGUAGAGAUGUGGAGGAAUACCGAUGGCGAAGGCAGCCCCCUGGGAUAACACUGACGCUCAUGCACGAAAGCGUGGGGAGCAAA